Molecule: RNA transcript, 325 nt
Organism: Patella vulgata (common limpet)
Lineage: Eukaryota; Metazoa; Mollusca; Gastropoda; Patellidae
Exons: 3
Source: RefSeq, a predicted model, not a curated record
GAACGUCUACUAAGGGACACCACUCAUGACAACAAAAUGGCGAAUGUGUGGCAUGGAAUACGAUUUCUUGCUAGAUUUUCUCUAAAUUGUACUAAAAAAGAUAACAUUAAUGGUUUGGUUAGACAAUUUGGACAUUUGAGCAUAACACAACAAUUUAUGCCAACAUACUGUGCAAGAUCAAUGUUAUUAAAACAUAUCGCUUCUCAGAACACUUUUAUUGAGUCAUCAUAUUCCAUAAGCACAGCUAAUAGUAACUCACCAGUGCCAUCGGAAUCAAGUUUGGAUACGACAUCAGAUUAUACUGUAAUAAAGAAGCAAAAUAAAG